Molecule: RNA transcript, 513 nt
Organism: Pipistrellus kuhlii (Kuhl's pipistrelle)
Lineage: Eukaryota; Metazoa; Chordata; Mammalia; Chiroptera; Vespertilionidae
Exons: 2
Source: RefSeq, a predicted model, not a curated record
UAAUUAAUCAAGGUUACUUCUUUCUUCUUGGUUUUAUAGCAUAUUCAACAAGAAAUCUCAAAGGUAAGCCCAUUGAUCUCAUCUUUGAAUGACUGUCACAAAGUGACAGAGUAUGCUGAGAAUUUAUUGGAAAUGUGAGAAUUGUGCAGGCAGAGCCAAGUUAUUAAAGGACAUUGAAUCAAGGUGAGUGGUUAGUAUCCUUUGCUUUUCUGUAUACGUGUUUCCUAAAUGAAGAUACCUUCAUAUAUGGAAGAGAAGUGACAUGUUUUAGGUGAAAACAGAAGCUCAGGCAUCUUAAAGGCAACUUUAUUCUCCUCAAGCUGCUCAUGUACCCUGACUUGUGAGACAUAUCUUUUGGCUUGUGCUUCAGUUACUUUUGCCAGAAAGUCAAGAUAUAAUCAACAAAUCUUUUCUAACAAAACAUUCACAUGUGGAAGGCAUGUCACAUUAGCCAGUUAGUAAUUGAACAAAUUCAUUAAAUUGUCUUAUUAUCGAAAAUAAGCACAGUUAAAU